GUCAGACUCCUCGGGGACCGAUUUGGAGUUUGUGCCCGGCAGUCAAGGCAGUGAAGGUGGUGGGGAAACUGAAGGAAGAGCUUUAGGCAAGGCGGUAGCUAGGCAGGAUGUCCUGGAACUCAUCAGUCCUCCUCUUCUAAGUGCUGGGAUCACAGUGUUCACUGAGAAGAGACAGGAUUAAAUACUGAUUGAACUGGAAUUGCAGCUACAGACAGACACCGGGCUUUGAGCUACACAAAGAAGCUCGCCCAAGGUCACAGAUCAUAACUACCCGAUCCUGACUUGAACCCCAAGCUCACCAAGUCUUUAGAGUCAUCCUUCUGAAUGUUCAACCUCUUCAGAGACUGGUAAGAUAGAUCCACGAUGGAUAAAGGAAUUUGCUACCAAACCUGUUUACCUAAAUUCAAUUCCCAGGACCCACAUGGUAGAAGGAGAGACCUGAUCCCCACAGUUGUUCUCUGACCUC
Long non-coding RNA from Arvicola amphibius (Eurasian water vole), 466 nucleotides. RefSeq lists it as uncharacterized. The record is from RefSeq and is a predicted model, not a curated record. Lineage: Eukaryota; Metazoa; Chordata; Mammalia; Rodentia; Cricetidae. The transcript is spliced from 4 exons.